This 730-nucleotide ribosomal RNA is filed under the name uncultured bacterium. RNAcentral describes it as "SSU rRNA". It matches the Rfam family "Bacterial small subunit ribosomal RNA", at positions 666 to 1396 of the family's 1533-position model. The record is from RNAcentral.
AUUCCCGGUGUAGCGGUGAAAUGCGUAGAUAUCGGGAAGAACACCAGUGGCGAAGGCGCUCUGCUGGGCCAUCACUGACGCUCAUGGACGAAAGCCAGGGGAGCGAAAGAGAUUAGAUACCCCUGUAGUCCUGGCCGUAAACGAUGAACACUAGGUGUCGGGGGAAUCGACCCCUCCGGUGUCGUAGCCAACGCGUUAAGUGUUCCGCCUGGGGAGUACGCACGCAAGUGUGAAACUCAAAGGAAUUGACGGGGGCCCGCACAAGCGGUGGAGUAUGUGGUUUAAUUCGAUGCAACGCGAAGAACCUUACCAGGGUUUGACAUCCUGCGAAUCUCUUGGAAACUUGAGAGUGCCUUCGGGAGCGCAGUGACAGGUGGUGCAUGGCUGUCGUCAGCUCGUGUCGUGAGAUGUUGGGUUAAGUCCCGCAACGAGCGCAACCCACGUCUUUAGUUGCCAGCAUUUAGUUGGGCACUCUAGAGAGACCGCCGGUGAUAAACCGGAGGAAGGUGUGGAUGACGUCAAGUCAUCAUGCCCCUUACAUCCUGGGCUACACACGUACUACAAUGCUACGGACAAAGGGCAGCAAGUUCGCGAGGACAAGCAAAUCCCAUAAACCGUGGCUCAGUUCAGAUCGUAGGCUGCAACUCGCCUACGUGAAGGAGGAAUCGCUAGUAAUCGCAGGUCAGCAUACUGCGGUGAAUACGUUCCCGCGCCUUGCACACACCGCCCG